UGGGAUGACGUCAAAUCAUCAUGCCCCUUAUGACCUGGGCUACACACGUGCUACAAUGGUUGGUACAACGAGUUGCGAGUCGGUGACGGCGAGCUAAUCUCUUAAAGCCAAUCUCAGUUCGGAUCGUAGUCUGCAACUCGACUACGUGAAGUCGGAAUCGCUAGUAAUCGCAGAUCAGCAUGCUGCGGUGAAUACGUUCCCGGGUCUU
This 208-nucleotide ribosomal RNA is filed under the name uncultured Streptococcus sp. RNAcentral's name for it is "partial 16S ribosomal RNA". It matches the Rfam family "Bacterial small subunit ribosomal RNA", at positions 1175 to 1382 of the family's 1533-position model. Lineage: Bacteria; Bacillati; Bacillota; Bacilli; Lactobacillales; Streptococcaceae. The record is from RNAcentral.